Molecule: unclassified non-coding RNA, 256 nt
Filed under: uncultured Gammaproteobacteria bacterium
Lineage: Bacteria; Pseudomonadati; Pseudomonadota; Gammaproteobacteria
Description: contains 16S-23S intergenic spacer region
Source: RNAcentral
UCCGGUUUAUCACCGGCAGUCCCCUUAGAGUUCCCGGCCGAACCGCUGGGCUUCCGUACAUGUCAAGGGUAGGUAAGGUUUUUCGCGUUGCAUCGAAUUAAUCCACAUCAUCCACCGCUUGUGCGGGUCCCCGUCAAUUCCUUUGAGUUUUAAUCUUGCGACCGUACUCCCCAGGCGGACAACUUCACGCGUUAGCUGCGGUACUGAGAAAUCGCUUCCCCAACACCUAGUUGUCAUCGUUUAGGGCGUGGACUAC